GAGGGUAUAGCUCAGUGGUUAGAGUGCAUGCUUAGGAUGCAGGAGGUCCUGGGUUCAAUCCCUAGUACCUCUA
This is a non-coding RNA of Vicugna pacos (alpaca), 73 nucleotides long. The record is from the annotation of a RefSeq genome assembly. Lineage: Eukaryota; Metazoa; Chordata; Mammalia; Artiodactyla; Camelidae.